This 456-nucleotide ribosomal RNA is filed under the name uncultured bacterium. RNAcentral describes it as "partial 16S ribosomal RNA". It matches the Rfam family "Bacterial small subunit ribosomal RNA", at positions 29 to 507 of the family's 1533-position model. The record is from RNAcentral.
AACGAACGCUGGCGGCAGGCUUAACACAUGCAAGUCGAGCGCCCCGCAAGGGGAGCGGCUGACGGGUGAGUAACGCGUGGGAACGUACCUUUUGGUUCGUAACAACCCCGGGAAACUGGAGCUAAUACCGGAUAAGCCCUAACGGGGAAAGAUUUAUCGCCGAACGAUCGGCCCGCGUCUGAUUAGCGAGUUGGUGAGGUAACGGCUUACCAAGGCAACGACGAGUAGCCGAUCUGAGAGGAUGAUCGGCCACACGGGAACUGAGACACGGUCCAGACUCCUACGGGAGGCGGCAGUAGGGAAUCUUCCGCAAUGGGCGAAAGCCGGAAGGAGCAACGCCGCGUGAGUGAUGAAGGUCUUCGGAUCGGAAAACUCUGUUAUUAGGGAAGAACAAAUGUGUAAGUAACUAUGCACGUCUUGACGGUACCUAAUCAGAAAGCCACGGCUAACUACGUG